GUGGGGAAUAUUGGACAAUGGGCGAAAGCCUGAUCCAGCCAUGCCGCGUGUGUGAAGAAGGUCUUCGGAUUGUAAAGCACUUUAAGUUGGGAGGAAGGGCAGUAAGUUAAUACCUUGCUGUUUUGACGUUACCGACAGAAUAAGCACCGGCUAACUUCGUGCCAGCAGCCGCGGUAAUACGAAGGGUGCAAGCGUUAAUCGGAAUUACUGGGCGUAAAGCGCGCGUAGGUGGUUUUGUAAGUUGGAGGUGACAUCCCCGGGCUCAACCUGGGAACUGCCUCCAAAACUGCAUGACUAGAGUACGGUAGAGGGUAGUGGAAUUUCCUGUGUAGCGGUGAAAUGCGUAGAUAUAGGAAGGAACACCAGUGGCGAAGGCGACUACCUGGACUGAUACUGACACUGAGGUGCGAAAGCGUGGGGAGCAAACAGGAUUAGAAACCCGGGUAGUCC
Molecule: ribosomal RNA, 450 nt
Filed under: uncultured bacterium
Lineage: Bacteria
Description: bacterial SSU rRNA
Rfam family: Bacterial small subunit ribosomal RNA
Source: RNAcentral